Molecule: ribosomal RNA, 694 nt
Filed under: uncultured bacterium
Lineage: Bacteria
Description: bacterial SSU rRNA
Rfam family: Bacterial small subunit ribosomal RNA
Source: RNAcentral
AACGCUAGCUACAGGCUUAACACAUGCAAGUCGAGGGGCAGCAUGGUCUUAGCUUGCUAAGGCCGAUGGCGACCGGCGCACGGGUGAGUAACACGUAUCCAACCUGCCGUCUACUCUUGGACAGCCUUCUGAAAGGAAGAUUAAUACAAGAUGGCAUCAUGAGUUCACAUGUUCACAUGAUUAAAGGUAUUCCGGUAGACGAUGGGGAUGCGUUCCAUUAGAUAGUAGGCGGGGUAACGGCCCACCUAGUCUUCGAUGGAUAGGGGUUCUGAGAGGAAGGUCCCCCACAUUGGAACUGAGACACGGUCCAAACUCCUACGGGAGGCAGCAGUGAGGAAUAUUGGUCAAUGGGCGAGAGCCUGAACCAGCCAAGUAGCGUGAAGGAUGACUGCCCUAUGGGUUGUAAACUUCUUUUAUAAAGGAAUAAAGUCGGGUAUGGAUACCCGUUUGCAUGUACUUUAUGAAUAAGGAUCGGCUAACUCCGUGCCAGCAGCCGCGGUAAUACGGAGGAUCCGAGCGUUAUCCGGAUUUAUUGGGUUUAAAGGGAGCGUAGAUGGAUGUUUAAGUCAGUUGUGAAAGUUUGCGGCUCAACCGUAAAAUUGCAGUUGAUACUGGAUAUCUUGAGUGCAGUUGAGGCAGGCGGAAUUCGUGGUGUAGCGGUGAAAUGCUUAGAUAUCACGAAGAACUCCGAUUG